AUUGAACGCUGGUGGCAGGCUUAACACAUGCAAGUCGAGCGGGGAAAGGUAGCUUGCUACCUAACCUAGCGGCGGACGGGUGAGUAAUGCUUAGGAAUCUGCCUAUUAGUGGGGGACAACAUUCCGAAAGGAAUGCUAAUACCGCAUACGCCCUACGGGGGACAGCAGGGGAUCUUCGGACCCUGCGCUAAUAGAUGAGCCUAAGUCAGAUUAGCUAGUUUGUGGGGUAAAGGCCUACUAAGGCGACGAUCUGUAGCGGGUAUGAGCGGUGGGUCCGCGACGCGGAGACUAAGACACCGCCAGACUCCUACGGGAAGCAGAAGUGGGGAAAAUUGGACAAUGUGCGAAAGCCUGACCCAGCCAUGCCGCGUGUGUUAGGUAGGCCUUAUUAGUGUAAAGCACUUUAAGCGAUGAGGAGGCUCUUUUGGUUAAUACCCAAGAUUAGUGGACGUUACUCGCAAAAUAAGCACCGGCUAACUCUGUGCCAGCAGCCGCAGUAA
This 500-nucleotide ribosomal RNA is filed under the name uncultured bacterium. RNAcentral's name for it is "partial 16S ribosomal RNA". It matches the Rfam family "Bacterial small subunit ribosomal RNA", at positions 30 to 523 of the family's 1533-position model. The record is from RNAcentral.